This 253-nucleotide ribosomal RNA is filed under the name uncultured bacterium. RNAcentral's name for it is "partial 16S ribosomal RNA". It matches the Rfam family "Bacterial small subunit ribosomal RNA", at positions 524 to 776 of the family's 1533-position model. The record is from RNAcentral.
UACAGAGGUCUCAAGCGUUGUUCGGAUUCAUUGGGCGUAAAGGGUGCGUAGGCGGCGCGGUAAGUCGGGUGUGAAAUCUCGGGGCUUAACUCCGAAACUGCAUUCGAUACUGCCGUGCUUGAGGACUGGAGAGGAGACUGGAAUUUACGGUGUAGCGGUGAAAUGCGUAGAUAUUAGGAAGAACACCGGUGGCGAAGGCGGCCCACUGGAUCGGUACUGACGCUGAGGUGCGAAAGCGUGGGGAGCAAACAGG